RNAcentral lists this long non-coding RNA (1014 nucleotides) under Homo sapiens (human). Its description in RNAcentral is "non-protein coding lnc-ZNF462-5:1". Lineage: Eukaryota; Metazoa; Chordata; Mammalia; Primates; Hominidae. The record is from RNAcentral.
UCUAGAAGCUAGAAAUGAGAAAUCAGAAUCCUGGCAAAAUAUGAAGAAGAAAUAGAUAUAGAUAUAGAUAAAUAUAAAAUUAAUUAAAAACAAUAAAUAUAUUGUAAAUUAGAAACAGGUAGGGAUUAUAAUCCAAAAUAUAAAAGACACCUAUGCAAUAAAAUGGCAAAUAUGCCAGGCUAAUAAAUUUGAAAUUGUUAACAAAAUAGAUUUUUUAAAAAUUGUAUUUAACAACAGAUGAAGUGUUUAAAGCAAAAAUCAUUACCAGAAAUUGAAUUGAUUACUUCAAAAAGAUCAAAAGGUAAAUUCACCAAGAAGACUGACAAUUCUUAACUUGUUUGCCCCAAUAACAUAGAUUCAUCACAAUAGCAACAAAAAGAAUAAAAUACUUAGAAAUAAACUUAACCAAGGAGGUGAAAAAGAAAAUUAUAAAGCACUGAUGAAGGAAAUUAAAGACACUGAAAAUUAUAAAGCAUCGAGGAAGAAAAUUAAAGACAUAUAUAAAUGGAAAGAUUUCCCAUGGCCAUAGAUUGGGAAAAAAUAAUAUUCUUAAAUGUCCAUACUGCCCUAAGUGAUUUACUGAUUCAAUGCCAUCCCUAUCAAAAUCCCAAUGUCAAUCUUCAUAGAAGAAAAAAUAACAUUUCCAAAAUGCAUAUGGAACCACAAAAUACCCCAAAUACCCAAAGCAAUCAUUAGAAAGAACAAAGUUGGAGACAUCACACUUCUUUAUUUUAAAGUAUAUUACAAACCUACGGUAAACAAAACAGCAUGGUACUGGCAUAGAAACAGACAUAUAGACCAAUGGAACAGAACAGAAAACCCAGAAAUAGAAUAGAGAACCCAAUGCAUGGGUUCCUCCCAAAAGAAAAUAUAAGAUGUUGAGUAAACAUGUAAAAAACUUAUCAUCAUUGAAGUUAAAUUAACUGACAUUAUCAAAUGUUGAUGCAGAUAUGGAGGGAAAGGAACCCUCACAUGCUGUCUGUAAGAAUGUAGAGUAGUAUAACCACUGUGGAU